RNAcentral lists this ribosomal RNA (401 nucleotides) under uncultured bacterium. Its description in RNAcentral is "bacterial SSU rRNA". It matches the Rfam family "Bacterial small subunit ribosomal RNA", at positions 28 to 424 of the family's 1533-position model. The record is from RNAcentral.
GAUGAACGCUAGCGGCAGGCUUAAUACAUGCAAGUCGAGGGGCAGCGCAGUGUAGCAAUACAUGGGCGGCGACCGGCAAACGGGUGCGGAACACGUACAGAACCUUCCUUCGAGCGGGGAAUAGCCCAGAGAAAUUUGGAUUAAUACCCCAUAGUAUAUUGAUAAGGCAUCUUAUUAAUAUUAAAGAUUUAUCACUUGAAGAUGGCUGUGCGGCUGAUUAGGAGUUGGCGGGGUAACGGCCCACCAAGCCUUCGAUCAGUAACUGGUGUGAGAGCACGACCAGUCACACGGGCACUGAGACACGGGCCCGACUCCUACGGGAGGCAGCAGUAAGGAAUAUUGGUCAAUGGACGCAAGUCUGAACCAGCCAUGCCGCGUGGAGGAUGAAGGUCCUCUGGAUU